GGGGAAGUACAACUAGCGGCAAACGCCGAGAAGCAGCGGAAACACCCCGAAAUAGCGUUCGGGACGCUGAGGUCGCGGGUUCAAAUCCCGCCUUCCCGA
This 99-nucleotide transfer RNA is filed under the name Actinomycetota bacterium. Its description in RNAcentral is "tRNA-OTHER". The stretch from base 27 to 99 matches the Rfam family "tRNA". Rfam says of the family: Transfer RNA (tRNA) molecules are approximately 80 nucleotides in length. Their secondary structure includes four short double-helical elements and three loops (D, anti-codon, and T loops). Further hydrogen bonds mediate the characteristic L-shaped molecular structure. tRNAs have two regions of fundamental functional importance: the anti-codon, which is responsible for specific mRNA codon recognition, and the 3' end, to which the tRNAs corresponding amino acid is attached (by aminoacyl-tRNA synthetases). tRNAs cope with the degeneracy of the genetic code in two manners: having more than one tRNA (with a specific anti-codon) for a particular amino acid; and 'wobble' base-pairing, i.e. permitting non-standard base-pairing at the 3rd anti-codon position. Lineage: Bacteria; Bacillati; Actinomycetota. The record is from RNAcentral.